GGUUCCCGCGCUUGCCGGGGGGGCAGUCCCCGGGACUCUACCCUCUGCUGGCCACCCGGAACGCCGCCUACGACGCAGUGGCGAGAAGCCCGGGUCCAGGAACUCCGGAUGGGGCUGGCUGUCGAAAGGCGGGAGUAGACUCGGUGGCAGCAUGGCAGAGGGCAGCACGGGAGACAGAACGACCAUCCAGGCUCAGGGAAGUUCUAGGUUUGCUCAAGGUCGCAAUGACACAGCCUGACGCUGCAAACCCAGAGGUUACAGGGGAUCAAGUUCUACCCUCAAGCUCAGGGCACAUGUCAAUGCAGCUGGAGGAUGACUUCGUCCAGGGCCUCGCUGGGCAGCGACCUCACCCAGCUGGCUGCUCAGAGCCAGCUCUGGCCCCUAUUUUCAGGAGCAGAGUCCUGGGGCUCAUCACCCCUGCUCAUCCCAUGGACUGUCCCCCCCACAUCACAGCAUCCAUGGGCAGGUAUCACGUGGGUCCCGCUCACUGAGGAAGCUGCCCUGCUCGGCACACAGCAUAUACUAGAGAAUAUUUGCUGAAUGAGUGAGCGAGUGAGUGAAACCACAGAAGCCGGAAUCCAUAUAAGAAGUGUCUUUAUGUGGGGUGGGGUCAGGGGAGCCACAGCACAGGCCCUGGAUGGUGGCACAGAGUGUGUCAGCGUGUCCAGCUGUCCUUCCAGCGCUGAGCCUCCUUCACCUGUGCUGCACUCACCUCCUGGAUCUUCAGCUCUGCAAAUAAUGCUGACUGUUCCUGGGAGCCACGUGGCAGGAGGGGACACCUGAGGAGGGACUGCCUGGACCCUGUGCCCUGGAGGACAGCCUGGCAGGUGGCUCUUAACACAUUCUGGGCUCCAGACAAGAGAGCCACAUGCCAUUUCUCAGGAAGAGUCUGGCGUUGCCCUGUCUUCUGGCUCCGAUGUCACGCUUCGAACAGGGGACUCUGUCCUGAGGUGGCGCACAUGUCUCCUCAAAGGGCUUCAUUUGCUGCAUCUCAUCUUUAAACCCAUCUGGAAUUUCCCUUGCAAAUAACAAAGAUCUUUUUCA
Molecule: long non-coding RNA, 1044 nt
Organism: Phacochoerus africanus (Common warthog)
Lineage: Eukaryota; Metazoa; Chordata; Mammalia; Artiodactyla; Suidae
Exons: 5
Source: RefSeq, a predicted model, not a curated record